RNAcentral lists this long non-coding RNA (366 nucleotides) under Cyanistes caeruleus (blue tit). RNAcentral's name for it is "lncRNA (ENSCCEG00000011890.1)". Lineage: Eukaryota; Metazoa; Chordata; Aves; Passeriformes; Paridae. The record is from RNAcentral.
CACAUAUGACAGCUCUUCUUUUUUCCUUCUGCUUGUACCUCAGGUACCCUGAUCCACCCAGUCAAUCUACCCAGACACAGUGUGGGUGAUGGACAAUGAAAUGUUACCUUCUAUUGUAAGGAAAGUGGCUGAGAACAUUCCCCAACCCACUGCACGCUCAGGCUACAGCUGUAGCAUAGUCCUAUGGUCAGGCAUCUAUCUUCAAAAUACCUGGAGAGAGUGCAGCAGAUCAAUUGGAGAAUGGCAGUAAUGUGGGACUUCCUCCUUCUGGCAAAGCACUGCAGAAGAGAAUAGGACUACAAAAAAAAUACUGAGAAGAAAAAAUGCUAGUUCCAAUGUGUAAAAUGCAUUUUUAAAGAAAGAAAG